CACUAGAAAUAAAUAUUAAAAUAAUUAGAAUCGAAAUGAGGUAUCAAGACCUCGGGGAUUUUAAACUGAGCCAUAAAUAUUUUUAUAAAUAUUUAUGGAGUGUUAAAAAGUUAGUAUUAAAGUUUCGUUAAGAAAUUUUAAAGUUCCGAUAAUUAAUUGAACAAAAAGGACUAAAUUGUAACAAAUGCAAAAUUUUGGGAAAUGAUUAAAUAGCUUAAAUGAUAAAAGGAAGAGGGCUUAAAAAGCAAAUAGACCCAAGGUCUAUUUGGGCUGGACCGCAGAGGCAUGAAAUCAGCAAGAAAGUAAGGAGAAUUAAGGGCAAAAUUGGAAAAUUGCAAAAUUUGCUUAAUAAAGUUAGGACCCAAGUGGAAUUAUCUAGAUUUCUCUUCAUUUUUCUGAAUUCUCAUCAGCUAAAACACCAUGGAAGGGCUUCUUCAAGCUGGUUCUUCAUAUUUUUAUUACAAGUAAGUUCAAUUCUUGACUAUUUCUUGAAAUUUUUGUAUUUUUAUGACUUUUACAACUAGGCCCACUUGUUAAAUUCAUUAGUUUUUGAUUUUAUGAAAGAAGUUGAAAGUUGAUAUGAAUAUGUGCUGGAAGUAUAUGAUGAUUUAGCAUGAAAUUAGAGCUUUAAAUUGUUCAUAUGCUGAUUUUAUUGAAAGAAUUGAAUAGAAAGUGAAUGUUUGGGACCUAAUAGUAAAAGAGUUUGAAGAUAGAGUUAUAUGUGGAAAUUCUGACAUUUCAAUAGUUGUGUAACAACUUAUAAUGUCUAGUAAAGUACUAAUUGAGAAAAUUAGAUUAAUUGAGGGGUUAAUUGAGAAAGGACCGAAUUGUAUAAACUGUGAAAUUUGGGGCAAAAUGGAAAUCAACAUUUUGCACUAAAGCAGUUUUGGACAGCAGCAGUAGUGUAACUUUGAAAAAUCACCAAAAAUUGUAGAGAUUGAAUUAGAGGAUGAAUAAAAUAUGAAAUUAAAUCUUAUUGAGUCUAGUUUCUUAUAAAAGAAAUGAUGUGAGCAAUGGAAUUGUAAAUCAUGAGAUAUAAUAGAUUUUGUGAGACAAGGUCAGAAUGAAUUCGGGUUCCCCUGUUCUGACUUUGGAAAAUCAUUAAAAAUUGUACAGAAAUUAUUAUGAGUUAUAGUUUAUAUGGUUAGAAUCCUUAAUGAGUCUAUUUUUAGAAGAAACAAGCUAAAACAUCAUCCGAAUUCUGUACAAUGAGAUAAUUAAUUUUUAGUGAAGAGUGGUCGGAACUGUCAGACAGCGAAACAGGGGAAACUUUAAAGAAUAAACUGUACUAUUUGGCUGAACCAAAAAUUAUGAAAAUUUUAUGGUAUGAAUAUAUGUGAGUCUAGUUUCAGGGAAAAUUAACGGAUCUUAAUUUGGAGCUCUGUAGCUCCGGAUAAAAAUAAUUUAGUGACUCUGACUCGGAUAAACAGCUUUGAAUAUACAUGUUAGUGAAUAUUGAAAUUAUGGUUAAUGUUGUUUAAGUGUGUUAUACACAUUAAGGAUGUGGAAUGGAGAGGAGGAGGAGGAAAAUUGGGAAAUAUAUGAAUGAUUCGUGUAUAAAUGGUCAUAUGUUUGAUUAUAACUCAUAAACGAUGAAAUAUGAAUGAUGCUUAUUUUUGUGCAUUAUUGGUCAUGGUUUAAGCUCAUGUGUGAAAAUAAAGUUUCAUAGUAUGUGUGUAUGGUAUAUUCAGUAUAUGAUUUGGCAUGAAAUAAUACCAUGAAUGGUUUAUGAAUUAACACAUGUUGGUAAGCCUGAUAUAUGAAUAAAUGAUCAAAUUGAGCGGAACGCCGGAUUUGAGUACUUCUGAUCAAGUGAUAAAGUGAUAAGUGGUAGCUUUAGCUACACUUAUCUGAUCAAGUGACAAGUGGAAAGUGAUAAGUAAUAGCUUCGGCUAUACUUAUCUGAUCAAGUGAUAAAGUGAUAAGUGAUAGCUUCGGCUAUACUUAUCUGAUCAAGUGACAAAGUGAUAAGUGAUAGCUUCAGCUACACUUAUCUGAUCAAGUGACAAGUGGAAAGUGAUAAGUGAUAGCUUCGGCUACACUUAUCUGAUCAAGUGACAAGUGAAAAGUGAUAAGUGAUAGCUUCGGCUAUACUUAUCUGAUCAAGAGACAAAGUGAUAAGUGAUAGCUUUAGCUACACUUAUCUGAUCAAGAGACAAAGUGAUAAGUGGCUACACUUAUCUGAUCAAGAAACAAAGUGAUAGGUGGCUACACUUAUCUGAUCAGGGACAAGUGAUAAGUGAUCAUACGUAAGACCAUAGUUAUACUAUGGCAAAGUGAAAGUGAAGUACUCAAUUUUCCGUGACCGUUCCCUAAUUUGAUUAAAGAUGGUAAGUGACAAAUGGGCCCAAAAGAAUUAAAGUAAAUGGAUAAGUGGUAGUGUAUUUAUAUCAGGACGAUGUUGUUAUUCAAACUAAAGUGAUAUUUUCAUUGCUAAAUUGAGAAUUUCAUAAAUGUGUUAUUGAAUGGUAUAAUCAAUAAACAUUGAGUUAAAUGGUAAAUACGUAUUAGUUUUGAAUUUGAUGUCAUUGAAUUGUACGUGAAUUAAAUGGAAAUUUCUAGUGAUAUGAUUUAAAUUAUGAGCAUGAGAAAUUGCGAAUUGAAUGAAAUGGAAAUGAAGCAUUAAAUUGCAUGAGUAUGUAUCGGGUCUCGCAGGCCCUAAUUAUUAUGAUUAUAAUAUUUUAAGGAUAUAUUGUGAAAAGUUAUAGAAACAUGUUAAUUAUUUUUGAAAGUUUUAAUUUUGAUGAAAUUUUAUAACUCGGUUAAAUACGUUUACAAGUGUAUGUGUUUUGGUAAUGCCUCGUACCCUAUUCCGGUGUUGGAUACGGGUAAGGGGUGUUACAGAAAAACACCUACCUUCGACCAAAGGUGAAGCCAGAAAAAAAAUUAAAGGAGUCAGAAUUAAGUUAUAUAUUUUGAUAAGAGUUAAAAUGCAACUUCACCAUUGUAUUAACUAAUAUCUUUAUAAUUUUUUGAAGGACUAUUGACCGGAAAUAGUUGCUAAGUAUCUAGUUAAGUGCUGGUAGGAGUGAUUAAGGAAGUUGGCACUUCUCCAAGCACUAUGAAAGAUGAAACAAAAAUAGGGGACACAAAGAUUAUUAACACAGUUCGGUUUCCCUACAACUGUAAAGCUUAACUCGGUGAGAAAUAUCUACUAUCUUCAAACAAUUGUAACAAGUGAACCUAAAUCUAUCACACUCGAGUGACAAUUUCGUCACUUUUGCACCUUUGAAGACUAGAACUCUCACCCCUAAAUUCGACACUACGAACUUAGCUUGUAAAAUCAUAGCACAAAUGUUUUACAAUCACAUGUGCUCUCACAAAUAAUGUUCUCACUUGAACAGAUUAAGUACUCUAAAAAAUCAGUACAUAAACCUAUACAAGUCUUUUAAUUAUAUAGAAUUUUUCAAAACUUGCUGACAUGAUGAAGAUCUAUCGCAAUCCUUAUUAAACAACAAAUAAACUAGCUAAAUGCAAUAUAAUAAUAACAGACAAAGUAAAUAAGGAUUGUUGGCAGCUAAGUUUUCAAUAUUCCAAUCCAACUUCCUUGAUCUAAGGGAUUAGAUAGAUGUUCUCCAAAUAUGUUUCCCUAAGUGAUAUAUCUUUAUUGAUGGACUAGAUACAAUCCAAAAUCUCAGCACAUUCCAAAGAUGUGGUUCAAUAAAUUGUCAAUCACAUAAAUAUGGAAACAAGUUAGUCUGUCGCAGUGUUUUAGGAAAUAGACACUUCCUCAAGCACAUCUUAUUCAUUCCUUAUUUUUCAACAAUCUCCCCUUUGAAAUUUAUAAAUAAUAAAUACAAUUUUACUAUUACUGAUUUAAAAUUUAUAAAUUAUAAAAAAAAUAAAAAAUAAUUUUCCAUUUUAGGAGAACUACAACCUCUACCAACUUCCCCACUUUGCCACUGCUCUAAAUAUUCAUAUACUCGACGGGAGAAGGAUCUUUGUUGCUUAUUUACAUUUCACAUCACAAGUUUACAAUCCUUGAUAAAUGGACCUAAUUUCUUUUUAAGUAAAUACAACACCAAUCUUAAUGUAUUUGACUAUUUUAUAAAGAAAAGGAAAAAGAAACAUUUACCAGUCAAACCAUCAUCGAAUUGGAAAAGAAAAAAAAGCCUUAGACAUGAUAAUUAGUAUUAUGUUUAUGCAUAUACAUUAAAAUUAAUUUAUUAUAUAUUUACAUAAAAUUAAUGCGUUAAGCAUUUUUUUAAAAAAGUAAUAAAUUAAUCAUUUUAAUAAAUUAAGUUUUGAUAUAAAUAUUUUUUUUAUCUUUUAUUAUAUUGUAGCAAGGUUUCGAAUCACAUAAUAUAAAAAUCAACGUGUGCACUAAAGCAAACCCACAUCAAAGUGAGAGUCCAUUUAUUGGUGAUUUAUUAAAAGAAGUAAACAUUCAAGUGGUCCCUUUGAUGCAGAUGGGUUUGCUUUACUUUUUUCCCUUUCCGACUAAAACUUUAAUUAGGAAAGGGAUUCCACCAAUAUCAAUAGCAUUGGUAUUAUAUUAAUCCAAUUUUUUUAUUGUUAAAAUCGUGAUUAAAUAUUACUUUAUAUUGUAUACAGCAUGAUUUAAGAUAAUUUUUUUAAAAAGUAAAAUAUUAUCAUUUAACUUUUAAAAAUAAAAAAAAAGUUAAAAAUAAAAUAUCUUUUAAUGGUUAAAUUCAUGAUUUUAUUAAUGAAAAGAUUUGGUUGGUAUAACUUUGAUAGUUUGGGAUAUAAUUAGAACGUUUUGAAGUUUGGGAACCAAUUCAAAAUAAGGUUUAUAAUUUGGUGAUGUUUGGUG
RNAcentral lists this long non-coding RNA (4774 nucleotides) under Gossypium barbadense (sea-island cotton). RNAcentral describes it as "long non-coding RNA (GBAR_LNC017493)". Lineage: Eukaryota; Viridiplantae; Streptophyta; Magnoliopsida; Malvales; Malvaceae. The record is from RNAcentral.